GGCUACAAGCUGGUGACGGACGGCACCGACAACCACCUCAUCCUGUGGGACCUGCGCCCCGAGGGCGUGACUGGCAGCAAGAUGGAGAAGGCGUGCGACCUGUGCCACAUCACGCUAAACAAGAACGCGGUGGUGGGCGACCUGUCCGCCAUGAACCCCGGCGGCGUGCGCAUUGGUGAGUGCUCGGCCCCGCGCAGUAGUUCGACAUGCGGCCCAUUCCUGCUCUGUAGCAUGCAUGUUAGGGCUGUGUCAUUGUAUGGAUACGGUGUAAGAUUGCAGUGCGCUGAAAUAGUUGCUUGUUGCGUGCACGUGCUGCUUCUUCAGGCACGCCCGCCAUGACCUCUCGCGGCCUGACGGAGGGCGAC
Molecule: long non-coding RNA, 365 nt
Filed under: Chlamydomonas reinhardtii
Lineage: Eukaryota; Viridiplantae; Chlorophyta; Chlorophyceae; Chlamydomonadales; Chlamydomonadaceae
Description: long non-coding RNA (CREI_LNC000563)
Source: RNAcentral